This 346-nucleotide unclassified non-coding RNA is filed under the name Hevea brasiliensis (rubber tree). Lineage: Eukaryota; Viridiplantae; Streptophyta; Magnoliopsida; Malpighiales; Euphorbiaceae. The record is from RNAcentral.
AAAAAAAAAAAAAAAAAACCUUAUCUAUUUGAAAACAUUUUUUGGGAAAACAAAUUAUUUUCUGUUGUUUGACAGUAACAUUGAAAAUCGGCUCAUUCUCUGGCAUUUGGCACACAUUAACAAUAGUCAAUUUUUCUACAUAAUAAUUUGACAUGAGGAGAUGAUAUAUUGUUAACUACAUAUGAAAUUUAGAUCCAAAUCAUACUAAACCAUCAGAAAAAAUUACAUUUUUUUGUAUAAUGCAUAAUAAUAUUACAUUCAAAAGAUAAAAAUCAAGAAUUCCAACACAAGUGGAUUUUGUCAUUAUUCAUUAAUCUACAAAAAGAUGAUGAUGAUGAAGAAGAAG